Molecule: long non-coding RNA, 7194 nt
Filed under: Nicotiana tabacum (common tobacco)
Lineage: Eukaryota; Viridiplantae; Streptophyta; Magnoliopsida; Solanales; Solanaceae
Description: long non-coding RNA (NTAB_LNC000449)
Source: RNAcentral
ACAAUAAAAAUAAAUUUCUACUAAAAAUUACUAAUUAAAAUUAAAUUUUUUAUUAUUUUAACUUUCCCUCCGCAUCCGAAAAAAAUUAUCUUUCCCUCCAAUUUUUUGGACAACAAUGAAUUAUUCCCUCCAAUUGAACAUGAAAUGGGUUUAUCUAUUCUCUCAGUUUUUGGGGCUUUUUCCUCUGGCUUUCGUACAUUUAAUUGAUUAUUACGUCAAAAAAUUGAAGGCACAUUCAUAAUAGCAAGGAAUCAAAAAAGGCAUCGGUCUCUCAAUAUUCUUCGAAAAUCAUUCCAAAAUAUUUCUCACCGCUUCAAAUCUGGCGAACAUAUAUCAACAAUGAAUAGAACCGCUUCCAUUGCAGUGGCACCAAAAAUUGAUAAUAAAUCAACAAUCAACAAGGAGAAGAAACAACCCAGCAACCGUUUCAAGCUAAAUCUCAAUUCCAGAUGCAAUAGCGAGAAGAAAUCAAUUUAACCAUCUGUGAGAAAGAUAUGAAGGUACAAAGCUUCAUAUUUUGUUGGUAUUUGUCUUUAUCAAUUUAAUCAAUUUGACUUUUACAUCAUUUGUCCUAUGGAAAGAGGAAAAAAACUGGGAAUAACAUCUCCAACCGGUGUUUGCAGCAUUUAUAAAAUUUAUAAUUCUGUUUCUACAAAAAAUGAUGGAUGUAUUAGAGUGACAAAAUGAGCUAAUCAACAAAAGGAAAGUGUUUUUCUUGUGAUUUUAUCGGAUAAAAGAAUGACAAUUCAGAAGAAGAUAUAAGAGAGAGGAAAUGUGAUAUGUCAAGAUGAUGGUAAGGUAAAAACUAGCUUUUUUAAUUUCUAUUUUUAUAUUUGCUAUGAACUUUUGCUGAAGAGCAAAGACAUGAUAAAUAGGAGUUGAGAAAUUUUUUUCAAAAAGGUUAAAUAGUGUAUUUCUUCCCUCAUUUUGCAGCGUAUUUUUAUAUUGGUUAUGAAUCUAAUGAUUGUUCUUUAGCUGUAUGAUAGUAAAAAUGCAGAAAAGAUAGUGUAACAAUAACAAUUCCUCAACUGAACAAGAAGACAAUAAAUAAAGGGUGAAAAAAUAAAAGACAUCAGAGUGGUAGGAAAAUCUUUGUUAAGGUAUUAUUCUGUUAAUUUUUAAGAAUGGGAAGAAUAUUUUAGGUGUAUAUCAAUCCUAAGUUUCCUUUGGUAUGUAAUAAUGAUAACCAUUUUACUUUUCCUUUACCUUUUAAGACCGAUUCUUCGAUGACCAAUUGUGUUACAUUUGCAUCUUUGCCUUCUUCCCUUAGUUAUUUUCAACUUUCUAGCUUUGCUUCUGCCUGUUGCAAGAAGAUAUUCAACGAAUCACACGUGACGAUGGUUGAUUACUAAUGUAUCUUCUGAUAUGUUCAUUUCAUUUGUUAAAUGCUGACUAAUCUGGAGAUUUCACGCUGAGCCAUGUUCUUUUUCUUAAUCUAAUAGAUGGAGGCAUUUUUCCUUGAAAAAACUCGAUUUGUUAGGAUACUUGUCUGUCUUAAUAUCUAGGAGUGAAUUUUUCAUUUUUUGCCUGUGCUUCUUGAUUAGAAAAUUGUCGAAUGCUAUCCUAAUGACUUUAUUUGUGAAAUAAAUUAUUUGUCAAUUAAACAGAGUAUCGUUACCCAAAGUUUGUGAUAGCAGUAUUUUAAUAUUUUUGUAGUUUGAAUGCAAUAGUAUUCUCUUGAUUGCUUCUUAAAUUACUGUGUCAUUUGUUUAUGUAGAACUUGGAUGUGAAUUGAAUUUAUUUAUUUUUACUAAAAGAGAAGGCUUAGCUUGCAAGUUGCAGUGUAUGUGUAAAGUAAUAUAAUACUUUGUGGAUGACUAUGUGGUUGAUUAUUUUUCUGGAAAAUAUGUGAAUUGUCUGUGUAGAAUCCACCUAUUAUGACUCUAUUAUUUGAGUACCUCAAUCUAAUAUGACACUAUUUUUUUACCUUCCUGUAGGUAUUUGAUCUAAUUAUGGGACGAAAAUUUUGAUAUGUAUGGAUUCUUAUAUGUGCAAGUAUUUACAGUUUUAAUAGUGAUUUUAAUUGUUUAUAAGAUUUCUCUGUAAUUGUAGGUAACUUGCAGAGGAGUUGCAGAUGGUCGUGACUGAAGUGGAACCACUGAGACCAAUGAGGUGCAUAAUAUGAAACGUCUCAAGGUGUUUUUUUGUACUUAAAUCAUUGUUCAUCUCUUAAGUUUUCAUCUAUUCCGUAAAGUUAUUUGAAUGUGCGAAAAGCUUAUGGUAGUUCUCUGCCUCUCUCAUAUUGCAUUCAUAGACUCCGUGACAUAGUAUAUCUGAGCAAUUUUUGGACUAAGCAACAGUCCCUGAAAACUAUAAUCCUCAAACCUUUUCAAGUACUCAGUCUCUUUUUAAUAUACCAUGUUGGUAUUAGUCAUGGCCAGCUUGCACACUAGAGAGUUGUUGGGAUGGAGCAUGAAUUGUCACAUCAUAUGAUGAAGUUUACAACAGCUUUUAUGCUUGUGUGUGCAAGAAAAGCUUGUGAGAAAAAUCUAUGCCUGUGAUUUUGAGAAUUCUUUUGCUAUUCAACAUAUGACUAUUCUUCUCUACAAAGUCUUGAUGCUAACCAACAGGCACAAUCUGGAACUAAAAAGCAAAUUUCACGUUUACUUUAUACUAUAUGGAGUAUGUUUUCUUGUAAAAUAAAGGGAGAAAAAAGAAAAUAGUGAUCUUUAACCAAUCUCAAAAUAGGAACAUGAAGCUUCUCACCAUAUUAUAUGUUUGUUUGGUUAUAAUAUAAUUUAUCAAUGUUUGUGGCCAUGAGGUAAUGUUACAGAAUAUUUAUCAGGAACAUGAUGCUAAUAGUGUCCAUGAACGAGUACCACAGACAUCAAGGAUACCUAAUAUUAUUGAAAAUACUCCAAUGUCUUACGGUAUUACUCAUCUUUAUCCUUCGGCAAGCUACUAUUUGAGUUUUCUAUUGUUUGAAUUUUCCUCCAAUUUUUUUUUUUUAUCAUUGGAGUCUAAUUUCAUGCAAACUUGCAAGAGUUAGCAUGAACGGCAAAAUCUUGCAGCUUUCACUUAUUUAUAUUAUAACAGUAACUUCACUUGCCUAAAUAAACCUCCAGGGUACAAUUUUGCAUGUAACAAACAAUACUUGUUAAGAUGGUUGCUGUUGUUCUUUUCACUACUUGUAAUUUCAGAAUACAUCAUUUUCUUCUCAUGUUUCUCUAAUUUCUCCUGGAAAUCUGAUCCAUUACAACCCUCAGUGGCUGCAAGAUAUUUGUGUUCUUUUAGGCAUGGAAAGUCCAUGAACUUGUGCAUAUUGGUAUUUAACAUGUAGUUGGUUUGCAGAUGUGAUAACUUAUUUUUUUCCUGCUGGAUGGUUGGUCUGAUGGUGCUGUUCAUUAGACAAUGCACAUGUUCUUAAUGUCUAAAUUUGUAUGAUCAUCUCUCUCUUGCAUUCCUCUUAUAUUUAGUGUUGCGCUAGUAGGAGAAGAAGAUUUCUUGCUUAUGUGUACAUCUAAAGUGCAUCGCAAACCUUUUAAUUUGUGUUUAACUGAUUGUAUGCAUACCUUACUCUCCUUUUAUCUAAUUUAUUGUCGUUAAGAUUUGUUUUGUUAGGUUUCGCAUGAUACCUUGUCAUUUCAACCCCAACAUAUGUAUGACUAGUGAAAUAAAUUAAUGGUGAAUCUUGCUCUAUUUGUCAUUCAAUCUCUCUAUUCAAUGGAAGUACAAACUAUACAAAGAAAAAUAAAAGAUUGGCCAACAAAGAUAAAUAACAACUUGAUCAUUUGUUUACCCCUUGAUUUUGGUGUUUUUCUGCUUUCAUUUACCUAUAAGAAAGAUCAAGAAAUUGAGAUUCUAUAACGUUAUAGCCACUUCGUUUAUCAAGAAACUAAAUGAAUCAUGUUACUGGAAGCCUUUUGAUACACAUUUGUCUUUGGGACGAGAAAAAAUGUUGCAUAUGCAGAGACUUCCUUCUAUUCCCCGACAGGCAUGGAACCAAGCCAUAAGGCUAGCCAUUGAAAGCUAUAAAAUGGGAACAAUCUUUGGCAAUGUGAAGUUUGUCAAACUUGUGAUAGACAACUCUAAUCCUUCCAUACAUAAUCUUCCAUCCUGCUGCACCAAGUAUUAGGGGGUAAAGUUCUUAGACAAUGACUUCUGACCUUUUCUGGAAAGAUGGACAUAGUAUUUUGUAAACAUCUCUGUAUACCCUUUUUCUUUCUUUCCCUAGUGUUCUGUGAUCCAUGCUCAUAUUACCUCAAGCUCAUAUUAACUUACAUACACUUUCUUUGUCUAAUCUAUUUAGUAUUAUGAGCAGAUUAAGUGACAUGCUUCACUAUUAUCACCGUUUCUCUUCCCAACAUUGAAUGAGCAUUGUGUGUUCUCUUUUACUAUAUGGAAAAAUUGACUUACCUAAUCAUAAUUUCAAGCAAGAUUUAACUUAGCCUGGAAUUGAGGAUUAUUGUAUUUCAUCUAUUGACAUAUUUAUUUUAUAAUUUCAGAUCAUAUAGUCUAAUGUUCGAUAAUUUAGCGGGUGGAAGAUUUUAAUAUGACAAAGAGUUGCAGAAAUUAUUUGAAGAUUGUUAUUCGUUAAGAUUAGUUAUAUAAUGACAUUAGCUAUUUACUUCAAACAAUAUAAAUUUAUCUUUUAAGUUACAGUGAUAUUAAUACCUUUUACCAGCUUUUGUUAGAAAUACCGCUAAAGGCUUUACCGACCCCGGCUUCAGCGGCGAAACACCAAUUGCCGGUAAAUGAUAUAGUGGCUAUUGUAAUUCCGCCAAUGCUAUUUUUUAUUGCCGCUAAAGUCCCUUUUUGUUGUAGGGCACAUUGAACAAAUGAGCUCCGAUUAUUGUUUUUAUUGAAGCAUUAGAUCUAUAUCGUAAUUAUGGAGUCAUAGCAAAAAAGGAAUCAUCAAAUUUGGACAUCGUAUAAGAAUUUUAUAGUCAUUUUACUAAGAAUUGGGUUGCCAAAUUUGUCAGAUUAAUUACGAAACUGCCACUGCUAAGUAUUUAAAAAUUUGCACUAUUUUCAAAUAUUGAAACCAGCAUAUCUUUUUCAAUAUAAGGUUAAAUGGAGUGAUUUAAGAGCCUAACUUGACUAGAAUUUUAUAAGAAAUCCAUUGGAGGUAUCAAAAGCAAGUUUAGAGAUCUUUUGGCACAAUAAACGAGGUAGAACAAUUUUAAAAUGAGGGUUUUGUGCAUUUAACAUAUUUUGAGUUGGGGAGCUCGUAAUUGGGCAAUAUUUCGAGACGUUUUUCAGCAUAUAAAUUGGGGUAAGUGUUCUCUACUCAGUUUUGGUUAUAUUUCAUGAAUCUAUCUUCGAUUUUAGCUUUUGAUUGAUGAAUUUUAAAGAAGAAAUUAGGGGAUUUGGCCUAAAGUUUCAUAAUAUGAAAUUUUGAGUUUUGAACACUGAUAGCUGGAUUUGAGUGAAGCUAGUAUGGUUGAACUCAUAAUUUAAUAGGUUAACAGGUUUUGUGAGUUUUGUCGGGUUCCGAGGUGCAGGACCGGGUUGGGCCUUUUGGCCGAUUUUGGGCUUUUGAUUAAAGAUUCGACCUUUUUCGAUUGGGAUUGGUUCCUUUAGCACUGUUUGAUGUAUUUUAGUUGUUUGUGAUUAGUUUCGAGCCAUUUGGAAGUCGGAAAGCGUGUGAUGGAUUCUUGGAGCAUCGCUUGGCUUGCUCGGUGUCGGAAUUGGCUUGUUUAAGAAAAGUAACUCUUCUAAACUUAGUGUUGAGGGUAUAAAACCCCAAAUUAUGUACUAUGUGAUUUGUGUUGAGGUGACGCACAUGCUAGGUUAUGGGUGUGUGGGCAUGCACCUUGUGAGUUGUGACUCUGUUGUUUCCAGGGCAUUGAAUAGUGGCCCUAUUUUAUUAAUAUAUGUGUUUUCACCAUGCGAUAACAUAAAUGAGUUGUACAUCAUGCUAGAUAUCAUGUUUACGCUUUAUGCUAAUAAUGUUAGGACCCAUAGUGUUCGUUUCUUGCUGUCAUCUCAUUGAAUUCAUUGAUAUUUCGUACUCAGUCACAUUCAUGAAUUCAUAUCAUAUCUCAGUCUCAGUUGUUGCUUAUUGAUACAUCAUAUCAUUAUUCCGGGUCAGUUUUCAUGACAUUGUGAGCCCGCGGGAGAGACUGGAGAGAUUGAUGACUAAGUGAGGCCGAGAGCCUGAUUAUGAGUGACAGUUAUGGGAUCGGGUUGCAUGCCGCAGCACAUUAUUGAUUAUGCCUUUGUUGGCAUGUUAUAGCGCUUGGGCUGAAGGAGCCCCUCCGGAGUCUACACACCCGCAAUGAGUGCGGAUGAUAUUAUUGAGGGAUGGAUUUCUCUGGAUAUAGAUUUGUCCGAAGCAUUGAUUAUAUUCAGGGAUAGAUCUUCUCUUGGUAUGGAGAUGGAUCUUCUCCAUGAGGUUGGAUUGGUAUAUAUUUCGGGAUGGAUCUUCCUUGGGCUGAAUGGGCCAUGUACAAUACCGAGUGGUUGAUUAUGAUGAGUGGAAGGUCUGAUACAGUGAGGUUGAGUACUCUAAGAGUGAGAGUACAUGAUUUAUCUCUAAGUUACAUGCUAUUGACAUGCAUAUUUGACAUACAUGCAUAGAGACAUAUUUUCCUCAUUCUAUAUGGUAUCACAUCAUUUAUAACAUUUUUACACACAUCGAUAUGUGGUCAUAGGGAGGUAUCUCACACUUGUUAUUUUAAAAGAAAAUGAAACAUCUUAUUUAUUGUAAAAAAGGAUUUUCUGAAAAAGAAAUACAGUUUACAAACUAUCUCAUAUUUCAAGACGUUUUCGGUAAAGAAUUUGUGUUUUUCACUAAUUUUGUUAAAAGGCGGAACUAUUUUUUGAAAAAUAUGAAAAGGCUGAGAAUAUUAUCUCAGAGCUACUUCUUAUGUACUUGCUUUACACUAUUAUGAACUAUUAUUGGUUAUUGGUGUUGGACCCAACCUAUGCUCUAAAUCGUCACUACUUUCAACCUAAGAUUAGGUUUGUUACUUUUUGAGUACAUGGGGUCGGUUGUACUCAUACUGUACUUUCUACACAUUGCGUGCAGAUCCCGGAUGCCGAUGUUGCUGCAUUCAACGGUUGUUGGAUUAGAAGGCGUACCUGCGUUCCUAUUGUAUGCUGCCUAUUGUUCAUGGUAGAUGUGGAUUUAUAAAAACUCUAUUUUUGUACUUUUCGAACAGAAGAUAUAUUUAUUUCAUAUCAGCUUUGUAAAGUCUAUUAUUAGAAGCUCAUGAUUUGUACUACUAGUCUUUGGAAAAUGUAAUAGAU